UACAGGGGGUGCAAACGUUGCUCGGAAUCAUUGGGCGUAAAGCGCACGUAGGCGGUCUGUUAUGUCGGAUGUGAAAGCCCUCGGCUUAACUGAGGAAGUGCAUCCGAAACUGGCAGGCUAGAGUACUAAAGAGGGUCGCGGAAUUCCCGGUGUAGAGGUGAAAUUCGUAGAUAUCGGGAGGAACACCGGUGGCGAAGGCGGCAUCCUGGACCGGCAUUGACGCUGAGGAGCGAAAGCCAGGGGAGCAAACGGG
This 253-nucleotide ribosomal RNA is filed under the name uncultured bacterium. RNAcentral's name for it is "partial 16S ribosomal RNA". It matches the Rfam family "Bacterial small subunit ribosomal RNA", at positions 524 to 776 of the family's 1533-position model. The record is from RNAcentral.